CACGUAGUUAGCCGUGGCUUUCUGGUUAGGUACCGUCAAGGUACCGGCAGUUACUCCGGUACUUGUUCUUCCCUAACAACAGAGUUUUACGAUCCGAAAGCCUUCAUCACUCACGCGGCGUUGCUCCGUCAGACUUUCGUCCAUUGCGGAAGAUUCCCUACUGCUGCCUCCCGUAGGAGUCUGGGCCGUGUCUCAGUCCCAGUGUGGCCGAUCACCCUCUCAGGUCGGCUACGCAUCGUGGCCUUGGUGAGCCAUUACCUCACCAACUAGCUAAUGCGCCGCGGGCCCAUCUAUAAGUGACAGCGUAAACCGUCUUUCAGCACAUCUACAUGAGUAGAUGUGAAUUAUCCGGUAUUAGCUCCGGUUCCCGAAGUUAUCCCAGUCUUAUAGGCAGGUUGCCCACGUGUUACUCACCCGUCCGCCGCUAAUUUACGAGAGCAAGCUCUCGUAAAUUCGCUCGACUUGCAUGUAUUAGGCACGCCGCCAGCGUUCGUCC
This 496-nucleotide ribosomal RNA is filed under the name uncultured Bacillus sp. Its description in RNAcentral is "partial 16S ribosomal RNA". The record is from RNAcentral. Lineage: Bacteria; Bacillati; Bacillota; Bacilli; Caryophanales; Bacillaceae.